Molecule: ribosomal RNA, 243 nt
Filed under: Triticum aestivum (bread wheat)
Lineage: Eukaryota; Viridiplantae; Streptophyta; Magnoliopsida; Poales; Poaceae
Description: partial small subunit ribosomal RNA
Source: RNAcentral
AUGGGAAGAGUCGAGCCAGCGGGUGCUGGUGGGGGUGGCGACGGAACCGGGAAGACCUCCUGGCCGGAGGUGGUGGGGUGGCCGGUGCAGAACGCGGCUGUACGGAUCAAAGGCGAUAGGCCCGAUGUCUUGUUCAUUAUCGGCGGUACAGGCGGCCAAUGGCCGCCAGGCCACAACCCCUCGCGUGUCAUCAUCCUCUCCAAUGAAGCUGGCGUCGUUGUGAAGACCCCUGUCGUUGGCUAG